UACGGGAGGCAGCAGUGGGGAAUAUUGCACAAUGGGCGAAAGCCUGAUGCAGCUAUGCCGCGUGUAUGAAGAAGGCCUUAGGGUUGUAAAGUACUUUCAUCGGGGAGGAAAAAACAAAACUAAUAAUUUUAUUUCUUGACGUUACCCGAAAAAGAAGCACCGGCUAACUCCGUGCCAGCAGCCGCGGUAAUACGGAGGGUGCUAGCGUUAAUCAGAAUUACUGGGCGUAAAGAGCACGUAGGUGGUUUUUUUAAGUCAGAUGUGAAAUCCCUGGGCUUAACCUGGAAUUGCAUUUUGAAACUGAAAUACUAGAGUAUCGUAGAGGGAGGUAGAAUUCUAGGUGUAGCGGUGAAAUGCGUAGAUAUCUGGAGGAAUACCUGUGGCGAAAGCGGCCUCCUAAACGAAUACUGACACUGAGGUGCGAAAGCGUGGGGAGCGAAACAGGGAUUAGGAUACC
Molecule: ribosomal RNA, 457 nt
Filed under: uncultured bacterium
Lineage: Bacteria
Description: bacterial SSU rRNA
Rfam family: Bacterial small subunit ribosomal RNA
Source: RNAcentral